CUGAACCAGCCAAGUAGCGUGAAGGAUGACUGCCCUAUGGGUUGUAAACUUCUUUUAUAUGGGAAUAAAGUGAGCCACGUGUGGCUUUUUGUAUGUACCAUACGAAUAAGGAUCGGCUAACUCCGUGCCAGCAGCCGCGGUAAUACGGAGGAUCCAAGCGUUAUCCGGAUUUAUUGGGUUUAAAGGGAGCGUAGGCGGAAGCUUAAGUCAGUUGUGAAAGUUUGCGG
RNAcentral lists this ribosomal RNA (227 nucleotides) under uncultured bacterium. RNAcentral describes it as "partial 16S ribosomal RNA". It matches the Rfam family "Bacterial small subunit ribosomal RNA", at positions 383 to 607 of the family's 1533-position model. The record is from RNAcentral.